Non-coding RNA from Pelobates cultripes (western spadefoot toad), 231 nucleotides. The record is from the annotation of a GenBank genome assembly. NCBI's taxonomy places the organism in Eukaryota, Metazoa, Chordata, Amphibia, Anura, Pelobatidae.
CUAGGAAAGGCAGAUGGAUUACUGUAGGAUCUGGUAGACUUAGAGUUGUGGAUAAAAGGCAUUUUGCACAGUCUGUUGCUCUUCAUAAUUAAUUUUCUGCACUUUCAGAGUGUAAUGGUGUUGUGGAGAGAGGCACUGAGGCUAGUGGUGUUGUGGAGAGAGGCACUGAGGCUAGUGGUGUUGUGGAGAGAGGCACUGAGGCUAGUGGUGUUGUGGAGAGAGGCACUGAGG